RNAcentral lists this ribosomal RNA (254 nucleotides) under uncultured bacterium. RNAcentral describes it as "partial 16S ribosomal RNA". It matches the Rfam family "Bacterial small subunit ribosomal RNA", at positions 524 to 776 of the family's 1533-position model. The record is from RNAcentral.
GACGAACCGUGCGAACGUUAUUCGGAAUCACUGGGCUUAAAGCGCGUGUAGGCGGGUCGCCACGUCGGAUGUUGAAAUCCCCCGGCUCAACCGGGGAAUAGGCACCGAUACGAGCGGCCUGGAGGGGAGUAGGGGGACCUGGAACUUCCGGUGGAGCGGUGAAAUGCGUUGAGAUCGGAAGGAACGCCCGUGGCGAAAGCGAGGUCCUGGGCUCUUACUGACGCUGAGACGCGAAAGCCAGGGGAGCAAACGGG